UGGGGAAUAUUGCGCAAUGGGCGAAAGCCUGACGCAGCGACGCCGCGUGAGGGAUGAAGGUUUUCGGAUCGUAAACCUCUGUCAGAAGGGAAGAAACCGCACUGUGCUAAUCAGCAGUGCCUUGACGGUACCUUCAAAGGAAGCACCGGCUAACUCCGUGCCAGCAGCCGCGGUAAUACGGAGGGUGCAAGCGUUAAUCGGAAUUACUGGGCGUAAAGCGCACGUAGGCUGCUUUGUAAGUCAGGGGUGAAAUCCCACGGCUCAACCGUGGAACUGCCUUUGAUACUGCUUAGCUUGAAUCCGGGAGAGGGUGGCGGAAUUCCUGGUGUAGCGGUGGAAUGCGCAGAUAUCAGGAGGAAUACCGGUGGCGAAGGCGGGUCUCUGGGCUGUUACUGACGCUGAGGAGCGAAAGCGUGGGGAGCGAACAGG
This 429-nucleotide ribosomal RNA is filed under the name Fusobacteriota bacterium. RNAcentral describes it as "Fusobacteria bacterium partial 16S ribosomal RNA". It matches the Rfam family "Bacterial small subunit ribosomal RNA", at positions 355 to 776 of the family's 1533-position model. The record is from RNAcentral. Lineage: Bacteria; Fusobacteriati; Fusobacteriota.